CGUCUAGGCGGCAUAGCAAGUCAGGUGUGAAAGCCCACGGCUCAACCGUGGAAUUGCACUUGAAACUGCUAAUCUUGAGUAUGGAAGAGGAAAGCGGAAUUCCUGGUGUAGCGGUGAAAUGCGUAGAUAUCAGGAAGAACACCGGUGGCGAAGGCGGCUUUCUGGUCCAAUACUGACGCUGAAGCGCGAAAGUGUGGGGAGCGAACAGGAUUAGAUACCCUGGUAGUCC
This 229-nucleotide ribosomal RNA is filed under the name uncultured bacterium. Its description in RNAcentral is "partial 16S ribosomal RNA". It matches the Rfam family "Bacterial small subunit ribosomal RNA", at positions 568 to 796 of the family's 1533-position model. The record is from RNAcentral.